UGGAUAGUGGCGAAAGGGUUAGUAAUGGAUAGGUAAUGUACCCUGUGCUUCGGGAUAGCGUCAGUUGCUUCGGCAACUUUCCGAAAGGGGCGGUAAUACCGAAUAAUAUCAUUUGUCGAUGGACUUAUGAUCAAAGAUUUAUUGGCACAGGAGCGGCCUAUCUCCUAUCAGCUUGUUGGUGGGGUAAUGGCUCACCAAGGCGAUGACGGGUAGCGGGACUGAGAGGUUGACCCGCAACAUCGGGACUGAGACACUGCCCGGACCUCCACGGAGGGCUGCAGUAACGAAUAUUGCGCAAUGGGCGAAAGCCUGACGCAGCGACGCCGCGUGCGGGAAGAAGUCCCUCGGGAUGUAAACCGCUGUCAGGGGUAAGAAAGUCCGCUUCGGCGGAUUGAUCUAACCCAGAGGAAGUCACGGCUAACUUCGUGCCAGCAGCCGCGGUAAGACGAAGGUGGCUAGCGUUGUUCGGUGUCACUGGGCUUAAAGCGUGUGUAGGCGGAAAAGUAAGCGUCUUGUGAAAUCCCUCGGCUUAAUCGAGGAACUGCUCGGCGAACUGCUUUUCUUGAGGCAAGUAGGGGUGCAUGGAACUCUUGGUGGAGCGGUGGAGUGUGUAGAUAUCAAGAGGAACGCCGAUGGAGAAAUCAAUGCACUGGGCUUGUCCUGACGCUGAGACACGAAAGCGUGGGGAGCGAACGGGAUUAGAUACCCCGGUAGUCCACGCCGUAAACGAUG
Molecule: ribosomal RNA, 732 nt
Filed under: uncultured bacterium
Lineage: Bacteria
Description: bacterial SSU rRNA
Rfam family: Bacterial small subunit ribosomal RNA
Source: RNAcentral